RNAcentral lists this ribosomal RNA (253 nucleotides) under uncultured bacterium. RNAcentral's name for it is "partial 16S ribosomal RNA". It matches the Rfam family "Bacterial small subunit ribosomal RNA", at positions 524 to 776 of the family's 1533-position model. The record is from RNAcentral.
UACGUAGGGGGCUAGCGUUGUCCGGAAUCAUUGGGCGUAAAGCGCGUGUAGGCGGCCAGAUAAGUCCGCUGUGAAAUCUCGAGGCUCAACUUCGAGCUGUCGGUGGAAACUGUCUGGCUAGAGUCCGGAAGAGGAGAAUGGAAUUCCUGGUGUAGCGGUGAAAUGCGCAGAUAUCAGGAAGAACACCCGUGGCGAAGGCGGUUCUCUGGGACGGUACUGACGCUGAGACGCGAAAGCGUGGGGAGCGAACAGG